This 892-nucleotide ribosomal RNA is filed under the name uncultured bacterium. RNAcentral describes it as "bacterial SSU rRNA". It matches the Rfam family "Bacterial small subunit ribosomal RNA", at positions 57 to 956 of the family's 1533-position model. The record is from RNAcentral.
GCAGUCGAGGGGUAUAGUUCUUCGGAAUUAGAGACCGGCGCACGGGUGCGUAACGCGUAUGCAAUCUACCUUUCACAGAGGGAUAGCCCAGAGAAAUUUGGAUUAAUACCUCAUAGUAUAUAGAGUUGGCAUCAACACUAUAUUAAAGUCACAACGGUGAAAGAUGAGCAUGCGUCCCAUUAGCUAGUUGGUAAGGUAACGGCUUACCAAGGCAACGAUGGGUAGGGGUCCUGAGAGGGAGAUCCCCCACACUGGUACUGAGACACGGACCAGACUCCUACGGGAGGCAGCAGUGAGGAAUAUUGGUCAAUGGGCGCAAGCCUGAACCAGCCAUGCCGCGUGCAGGAUGACGGUCCUAUGGAUUGUAAACUGCUUUUGUACGGGAAGAAACAACUCUACGUGUAGAGUCUUGACGGUACCGUAAGAAUAAGGAUCGGCUAACUCCGUGCCAGCAGCCGCGGUAAUACGGAGGAUCCAAGCGUUAUCCGGAAUCAUUGGGUUUAAAGGGUCCGUAGGCGGUUUAGUAAGUCAGUGGUGAAAGCCCAUCGCUCAACGGUGGAACGGCCAUUGAUACUGCUAGACUUGAAUUAUUAGGAAGUAACUAGAAUAUGUAGUGUAGCGGUGAAAUGCUUAGAGAUUACAUGGAAUACCAAUUGCGAAGGCAGGUUACUACUAAUGGAUUGACGCUGAUGGACGAAAGCGUGGGUAGCGAACAGGAUUAGAUACCCUGGUAGUCCACGCCGUANACGAUGGAUACUAGCUGUUGGGAGCAAUCUCAGUGGCUAAGCGAAAGUGAUAAGUAUCCCACCUGGGGAGUACGUUCGCAAGAAUGAAACUCAAAGGAAUUGACGGGGGCCCGCACAAGCGGUGGAGCAUGUGUUUUAAUUCGAUG